Sapajus apella (tufted capuchin) is the source of this 470-nucleotide long non-coding RNA. RefSeq lists it as uncharacterized. The transcript has 2 exons. The record is from RefSeq and is a predicted model, not a curated record. NCBI's taxonomy places the organism in Eukaryota, Metazoa, Chordata, Mammalia, Primates, Cebidae.
GUGGCGGGCGGGGCGCGGUAGGCGGGUCCUAGAGGCCUCGGAGGAAGCCAGCCCAGCGCUGCGGCAUUGGCAAGAACGCGCGUCAGUACGAAGAGUGAGGAGAGCGCCAGGCGCGGGGGCUGUCAGGUCUGGAGCUGUCUGAGGUCGGCCAGGAAGCUCUCUCGUGCGGACUGGGCGGAGGAAGAGCUCCGGUCCAGCGCAGUCCCUGGUGAGGCCGGAGCAUCCGAUCUGUCUUCCCUCCCCAGGUCACUUCGCAAAAAUUGGGAACAGUGCGGCCAGAUUGGGGGUGGAGUCUGCAGGAUUCUGCAACUGCAGCCCGUGGGAUGGCGCCCUAACAGAGCCUCUGCUCCUUCCCUAGUGGGUGCAGACGUGGCAAAGCCCUUACUUGCCUCGUCCCCAGGGCCUAGCCCCACCUUGAUUACCUCAGUUUCCCCCAAAAGAAACAAAUGUGAGCCACUUCUCUGCACCUA